CAGGGAGUAGUUUAAAUAGAACUUCAGCUUUGGGUGUUGAUAGUGAAGCUAUAGCU
RNAcentral lists this transfer RNA (56 nucleotides) under Capricornis crispus (Japanese serow). Its description in RNAcentral is "partial tRNA-Pro". The record is from RNAcentral. Lineage: Eukaryota; Metazoa; Chordata; Mammalia; Artiodactyla; Bovidae.